AGAGUUUGAUCAUGGCUCAGAACGAACGCUGGCGGCAGGCUUAACACAUGCAAGUCGAGCGCCUCGCAAGAGGAGCGGCAGACGGGUGAGUAACGCGUGGGAAUCUACCCAUCACUACGGAACAACUCCGGGAAACUGGAGCUAAUACCGUAUACGACCGAGAGGUGAAAGAUUUAUCGGUGAUGGAUGAGCCCGCGUUGGAUUAGCUAGUUGGUGGGGUAAAGGCCUACCAAGGCGACGAUCCAUAGCUGGUCUGAGAGGAUGAUCAGCCACAUUGGGACUGAGACACGGCCCAAACUCCUACGGGAGGCAGCAGUGGGGAAUAUUGGACAAUGGGCGCAAGCCUGAUCCAGCCAUGCCGCGUGAGUGAUGAAGGCCCUAGGGUUGUAAAGCUCUUUCACCGGAGAAGAUAAUGACGGUAUCCGGAGAAGAAGCCCCGGCUAACUUCGUGCCAGCAGCCGCGGUAAUACGAAGGGGGCUAGCGUUGUUCGGAAUUACUGGGCGUAAAGCGCACGUAGGCGGACAUUUAAGUCAGGGGUGAAAUCCCAGAGCUCAACUCUGGAACUGCCUUUGAUACUGGGUGUCUUGAGUAUGGAAGAGGUGAGUGGAAUUCCGAGUGUAGAGGUGAAAUUCGUAGAUAUUCGGAGGAACACCAGUGGCGAAGGCGGCUCACUGGUCCAUUACUGACGCUGAGGUGCGAAAGCGUGGGGAGCAAACAGGAUUAGAUACCCUAGUAGUCC
This 740-nucleotide ribosomal RNA is filed under the name uncultured bacterium. RNAcentral describes it as "bacterial SSU rRNA". It matches the Rfam family "Bacterial small subunit ribosomal RNA", at positions 8 to 796 of the family's 1533-position model. The record is from RNAcentral.